UUAACAAAGGAACAGGUUGUGCUGGUUCUGAAGUCUCUUCUGUUAGAGAGACUUCAGAACCAGCACAACCUGUUCCUUUGUUAA
Non-coding RNA from Podarcis lilfordi (Lilford's wall lizard), 84 nucleotides. The record is from the annotation of a GenBank genome assembly. NCBI's taxonomy places the organism in Eukaryota, Metazoa, Chordata, Lepidosauria, Squamata, Lacertidae.